RNAcentral lists this ribosomal RNA (207 nucleotides) under uncultured bacterium. RNAcentral's name for it is "partial 16S ribosomal RNA". It matches the Rfam family "Bacterial small subunit ribosomal RNA", at positions 568 to 774 of the family's 1533-position model. The record is from RNAcentral.
CGCGUAGGCGGUCUGAUAAGUCAGUUGUGAAAGCCCGGGGCUCAACCCCGGAAGUGCAAUUGAAACUGUCAGGCUUGAGUAUGGUAGAGGGAAGUGGAAUUCCUGGUGUAGCGGUGAAAUGCGUAGAUAUCAGGAGGAACACCGGUGGCGAAGGCGACUUCCUGGACCAAUACUGACGCUGAGGCGCGAAGGUGUGGGUAGCAAACA